CCUACGGGAGGCAGCAGUGAGGAAUAUUGGUCAAUGGGCGCGACCCUGAACCAGCCAAGUCGCGUGAGGGAAGACGGUCCUAUGGAUUGUAAACCUCUUUUGUCGGGGAGCAAAAGACGCCACGCGUGGCGUUCCGAGAGUAACCGAAGAAAAAGCAUCGGCUAACUCCGUGCCUGCAGCCGCGGUAAUACGGAGGAUGCCAACGUUAUCCGGAGUUAUUGGGUUAAACGGGUGGGCAGGCGGAAGAUCAAGUCAGCGGUAAAAUUGAGAGGCUCAACCUCUUCGAGCCGUUGAAACUGGUUAUCUUGAGUGAGUGAGAGGUAUGCGGAAUGCGUGGUGUAGCGGUGAAAUGCAUAGAUAUCACGCAGAACUCCGAUUGCGAAGGCAGCAUACCGGCGCUCAACUGACGCUCAGGCACGAAAGUGUGGGUAUCGAACAGGAUUAGAUACCCCUGUAGUC
Molecule: ribosomal RNA, 459 nt
Filed under: uncultured bacterium
Lineage: Bacteria
Description: partial 16S ribosomal RNA
Rfam family: Bacterial small subunit ribosomal RNA
Source: RNAcentral